AAAUAUACUAUUUAUUGAUAAAAAAUAUGGUACAACUGUAUACUGUAAUUAAAUAUUUUACAAAUGAAGUUUAUAUGAUGAUAAAUUCACGAAAAAGUCCUUGGUUGAAAGUCCUUUGUGAAGGUGCAAGGCUCUACAAUACUUUACCUGACAAUUUCCAGCCUGCACAUAAUGAAUUGAUUUCAUUUUUUUGUCAGUUGUUAGAAUUUUGCACAAUUUAUUACUGCCUUCUUGUGCAAAUCCUAAUGGAUGCUUUAGGCUCAUAAUUUAUAUGAAAUGGAAUAUGUAAAAUUUAAGACUCGC
RNAcentral lists this long non-coding RNA (303 nucleotides) under Androctonus crassicauda. The record is from RNAcentral. Lineage: Eukaryota; Metazoa; Arthropoda; Arachnida; Scorpiones; Buthidae.